CGCGUGGGAAUAUACCCAAAGGUACGGAAUAGCCUCUGGAAACGGAGAGUAAUACCGUAUGUGCCCUUCGGGGGAAAGAUUUAUCGCCUUUGGUAUUAGCCCGCGUUGGAUUAGAUAGUUGGUGGGGUAACGGCCUACCAAGUCGACGAUCCAUAGCUGGUUUGAGAGGAUGAUCAGCAACACUGGGACUGAGACACGGCCCAGACUCCUACGGGAGGCAGCAGUGGGGAAUCUUAGACAAUGGGCGCAAGCCUGAUCUAGCCAUGCCGCGUGAGUGACGAAGGUCUUAGGAUCGUAAAG
RNAcentral lists this ribosomal RNA (300 nucleotides) under uncultured Octadecabacter sp. Its description in RNAcentral is "bacterial SSU rRNA". It matches the Rfam family "Bacterial small subunit ribosomal RNA", at positions 114 to 430 of the family's 1533-position model. The record is from RNAcentral. Lineage: Bacteria; Pseudomonadati; Pseudomonadota; Alphaproteobacteria; Rhodobacterales; Roseobacteraceae.